RNAcentral lists this ribosomal RNA (487 nucleotides) under uncultured bacterium. RNAcentral's name for it is "bacterial SSU rRNA". It matches the Rfam family "Bacterial small subunit ribosomal RNA", at positions 28 to 507 of the family's 1533-position model. The record is from RNAcentral.
GAUGAACGCUAGCUACAGGCUUAACACAUGCAAGUCGAGGGGCAGCACAGUGUAGCAAUACACGGGUGGCGACCGGCGCACGGGUGCGUAACGCGUAUCCAACCUUCCCGUUACUCUUGGAUAGCCUUCCGAAAGGGAGAUUAAUACAAGAUGGUAUUCAAAUUUCGCAUGUUAUUUGAAUUAAAGAUUUAUCGGUAACGGAUGGGGAUGCGUGACAUUAGAUAGUAGGCGGGGUAACGGCCCACCUAGUCUACGAUGUCUAGGGGUUCUGAGAGGAAGGUCCCCCCACACUGGAACUGAGACACGGUCCAGACUCCUACGGGAGGCAGCAGUGAGGAAUAUUGGUCAAUGGUCGGAAGACUGAACCAGCCAAGUAGCGUGAAGGAUGAAGGUUCUAUGGAUUGUAAACUUCUUUUGUUUGGGAAUAAAGUGAGGGACGUGUCCCUUUUUGUAUGUACCAUUCGAAUAAGCAUCGGCUAAUUCCGUG